RNAcentral lists this ribosomal RNA (428 nucleotides) under uncultured bacterium. RNAcentral's name for it is "partial small subunit ribosomal RNA". It matches the Rfam family "Bacterial small subunit ribosomal RNA", at positions 371 to 807 of the family's 1533-position model. The record is from RNAcentral.
AUGGGGGACCUGAUGCCCCACCCCCGUGAGUGAUGACGNCCUNCGGGUUGUAAACCNCUGNCUNCAGGGNCGAUAAUGNCGGUCCCUGAGGAGGAACCCCCGGCUAACUNCGUGCCACCACCCCCGGUAAUNCGUAGGUGGCAACCGUUAUCCGGAUUUNCUGGGUGUAAAGGGACCGUAGACGGUGUGGCCAAGNCCUGAUGUGAAAGGCAUGGGCCUCACCCUGUGGACCUGCCAUUGGAANCUGUCAUACUUGAGUGCCCGGAGGGGUAACCGGAAUUCCUAGUGUACCGGUGAAAUGCGUAGAUAUUAGGAGGANCNCCAGUGGCCGAAGGCGGCCUUACUGGACGGUANCUGACGUUGAGGCCNCGAAAGCCGUGGGGAGCCAANCAGGAUUAGAUNCCCUGGUAGUCCCAAGGGCCGAAUUC